Non-coding RNA from Megalops atlanticus (tarpon), 68 nucleotides. The record is from the annotation of a GenBank genome assembly. NCBI's taxonomy places the organism in Eukaryota, Metazoa, Chordata, Actinopteri, Elopiformes, Megalopidae.
GCAGUGUGGCGUAGUGGUAAGGAGCAGGGCUCAGAACCCUGAGAUUGCCAGUUUGAAUCCUACGUGCA